GCCUACGGGGGGCAGCAGUCGAGAAUCAUUCACAAUGGGGGAAACCCUGAUGGUGCGACGCCGCGUGGGGGAAUGAAGGUCUUCGGAUUGUAAACCCCUGUCCUGUGGGUGCAAAUUAAAAAGAUAGUACCACAAGAGGAAGAGACGGCUAACUCUGUGCCAGCAGCCGCGGUAAUACAGAGGUCUCAAGCGUUGUUCGGAAUCACUGGGCGUAAAGCGUGCGUAGGCUUUUUCGUAAGUCGUGUGUGAAAGCCGCGGGCUCAACCCGCGUAAGGCACAUGAGACUGCGAGACUCGAGUAAUGGG
This 305-nucleotide ribosomal RNA is filed under the name uncultured bacterium. RNAcentral's name for it is "bacterial SSU rRNA". It matches the Rfam family "Bacterial small subunit ribosomal RNA", at positions 337 to 653 of the family's 1533-position model. The record is from RNAcentral.